This 2611-nucleotide long non-coding RNA is filed under the name Podarcis lilfordi (Lilford's wall lizard). Lineage: Eukaryota; Metazoa; Chordata; Lepidosauria; Squamata; Lacertidae. The record is from RNAcentral.
CUUGCGCCUGGCACUUGCCCCAGAGAGGUCAUAGGAAACAGACAUGUGACAAGAGAGGCUGCCACAGGCUUCACCCUGCUUAGCACACAUUUCCUGGUUAUCGCAUGAAAAACCUCUGCAGCAGAUGGAGUUGACAGCGAAGCCUGCACACUAAAGACUUUGGGUAGGUUUUACGAGUCAACCGAUCUGUGAACUCUAUUGAAACAGGAUUGUAGUGGUAGCAAGCUACCUUAUGAGUCAGACCCUUGAUCCAUCAAGCUCAGGAAUACCCCCACUGGCUCUCCAGGAACGGCUCUCCAGGGUUUCAGGCAAGGAAUCUUUCCCAGCCCUACCUGGAGAUGCUGGCAGAUUGAAUCUGGGAUCUUUUGCAUGCAAAGCAGAUGCUCUCCCAUUGAGCGACAGCAAAUUCUGGUUCAAUGCGUUAUUUGUAUGGCUGUGAUGAUGCUAUGAGUGUGCAUUCAUGAUCCUGCUGUGGCAUGUGUAACCAGUAUGGUAUCCUCCAGAUGUUUAGGGCUACAACUUCCAUCAGCCGCAGUCAGGGAUGAUGGGAGUUGUAGUCCAGCAACAUCUGGAGAGCACCAUAUCGACCACAACCCCCCCUGCACCAUCUGCCUCAGGCAGCUGAUUUGGGGAGCCAUGUAAGGGCAGAAAAUGGUUGUAUUAUUGUUGUUUUUUUACUGCUUACAGGAUUUUCUGCCUCUGGUGCCAGAUAUUUUGGCUGGACUUGGGUGCUAUACAGUGUGACUGGCUUGGACAGAGGGCUUUUGCUGCUCCUGCUCAGUCAGCAAAAUAUCUUGGGAUGGCACUAUAUGAUAUCAUUGCCAUAAGGCAGAGAUAGGGAGCCUGUGUCCCCCCCCCGAAGUUGCUGCACUACAACUCCCAUCAGCCCCAAAGUUUGGCCAUGCUGGCUGGGGGCUGAUUGGAAGUGGAGUCCAACAACAUUGGGGGGGCAUGGGCUCCCCACAGCUGCCAUAAGGGCAUUAACUGAAUCUAAUCUGGAAUCUAAAUUAAUUUUGUGCACAGUGCUUCAAAUCACAUGUGAUGCUAAGCCAAACCAUGGCUCAGUGAACAUGCGGACUCCUGGAUAAGAGAUCACAUUAACUUUGCUUUUUUUCUGAUCCUGCGCCUACUGCAUGGUCUGGCUUAUCUUGUUGUCUGAACCUGGGUUUGUCUCCUCUAGACAAACCACGAACAACCUUUGGUUGCUGUAGCUUGUGGCUUGUCUGGUGUGAGACAAACCAUGAGCCCAAGAUCAGAUGACAUGCUCACCAUGGCUUAGCUUGCAGCAACAACAGGACUAGAAGAACAUAGGAAUAUGCCUGGAACUGAAUCAGACCCUUGGGUCCAUCUAGCUCAGUAGUGUCUACAUGGAGAUGUGGGGGAUUGAACUGGGGACCUUCUGUAUGCAAAGCUGAAGCUCUACUACAGAGCUACAGCCCUUCCCCAAGGAGAAGCAAAGCAGAUACAAUCUCCUCUCCAUGAUCCUGCACACUCAUGAGUUUGCACCAAGCCAUGUUUUGGUUUAGCAUUACGUGCAAACCAGGUCAAUCCUCCCACCUCCACCCCAGAUUAUUUUUGGAGUGCACUUUGCACAGCCUGCCCAUCCCUCUCCUCUCCCUCUCAUCAACAACAUCCAGCAAGGAGCAUUGGGCAGGGUAACUGAUUUUCGAAAUACGGAGAGCCAGGGAGAAUUGCUCACCUUGGGAAAGUGGUUUCAGACGGUAGCAUCCCUGGGUGGAGUGUCAUGUGCACCCUCUCCCCAAGCAGCAUCAGAUUACUCAGCGAUAGGAAGCUUCUGUAGGCUGAGUGUUUUGAAUCACCCCAGUUAAAACUCCAUUGUCAUCUCCAACAAGGGAGAGCUUCAUUUGAAGCAAAUCGAAGAGAAUGUAAAACUGGGCAUGUAAAGAAAACAAAGACACAGAGAGCAGGCUAGCUAACACAAGUUACAAGGAGCUCUUAAUCCACUUCAGGUGGCUCCUUGUUCCCAUAGCCAGAGUGCAAACAGCAAGCACAUACCCCACCCAGCAUGGGCACGCUGGAAUCUCAAGUUUCUGCUUCCAGCAGCCAAGGCGGGGCAGUGAGGCGGCGGGGCACCUUCUUUUCUAAGAGAUGCUCUUAGAUGAAUCAAGUGUUUCUGGAAACCAAUUAACAUACACCAGUUAUAUAUUUCACAUGUAGAUAAAGAGUUGAGUCACCAUGUCUGGGGGAGAAGGUAGGAUGAGGGUUUGGGACUUUUUUGUUUGGAGAAACGGUGAGUAAGAGGUGGCACGGCAGGAGCUGGAAAAAUUAUGCAUGGUAUGGAGAAAGUGAAUAGAAGAAAGUUGUUCUCUCUCUCUCCUAACACUAGGAUUUGGGGACAUCCAAGGAAAUGGAAUGUUGGAAGAUCCAGGACAGAUAAAAGAAAGCAAUUAUUCACGCAGAUCAGAAGGUCGGCGGUUCGAAUCCCCGCAACGGGGUGAGCUCCCGUUGCUCGGUCCCUGCUCCUGCCAACCUAGCAGUUCGAAAGCACGUCAAAGUGCAAGUAGAUAAAUAGGUACCGCUCCAGCGGGAAGGUAAACGGUGUUUCCAUGCGCUGCUCUGGUUCGCCAGAAGCAGCUUAGUCAUGCUGGCC